AGCGCACACGGUGGAUGCCUUGGCGGUCAGAGGCGAUGAAGGACGUGGCAGCCUGCGAAAAGUAUCGGGGAGCUGGCAACAAGCUUUGAUCCGGUAAUGUCCGAAUGGGGAAACCCACCCGCUUGCGGGUAUCCUGCAGUGAAUACAUAGCUGCUGGAAGCGAACCUGGUGAACUGAAAUAUCUAAGUAACCAGAGGAAAAGAAAUCAACCGAGAUUCCGUAAGUAGCGACGAGCGAACGCGGACUAGCCCUUAAGCUGGAUUGGUUCUAGGAAAACGCUCUGGAAAGAGCGGCCAUAGAAGGUGAUAGCCCUGUAUCUGAAAGGGCCAUUCCAGUGAAGACGAGUAGGGCGGGGCACGUGAAACCCUGUCUGAACAUGGGGGGACCAUCCUCCAAGGCUAAAUACUACUGACCGACCGAUAGUGAACCAGUACCGUGAGGGAAAGGCGAAAAGAACCCCGGAGAGGGGAGUGAAAUAGAACCUGAAACCGUGUGCGUACAAGCAGUAGGAGCUCCGCAAGGAGUGACUGCGUACCUUUUGUAUAAUGGGUCAGCGACUUACUGUUCGUGGCAAGCUUAACCGUAUAGGGGAGGCGAAGGGAAACCGAGUCUGAUAAGGGCGCAUAGUCGCGGGCAGUAGACCCGAAACCGGGUGAUCUAGUCAUGCCCAGGGUGAAGGUGCGGUAACACGCACUGGAGGCCCGAACCCACUCCCGUUGCAAAGGUAGGGGAUGAGGUGUGAUUAGGAGUGAAAAGCUAAUCGAACCCGGAGAUAGCUGGUUCUCCUCGAAAGCUAUUUAGGUAGCGCCUCAUAUGUAUCCUCUCGGGGGUAGAGCACUGUUAUGGCUAGGGGGUCAUCGCGACUUACCAAACCAUUGCAAACUCCGAAUACCGAGACGGACUGUAUGGGAGACACACGGCGGGUGCUAACGUCCGUCGUGAAAAGGGAAACAACCCAGACCCACAGCUAAGGUCCCAAAUUCACUGCUAAGUGGAAAACCAUGUGGAAAGGCACAGACAGCCAGGAGGUUGGCUUAGAAGCAGCCACCCUUUAAAGAAAGCGUAAUAGCUCACUGGUCGAGUCGGUCUGCGGGGAAGAUUUAACGGGGCUAAGCAGUGAACCGAAGCUUGGGGUGCAUAACUUUGUUAUGCGCGGUAGAGGAGCGUUCCGUAAGCCGUUGAAGGUGGAUUGAGAAGUCUGCUGGAGGUAUCGGAAGUGCGAAUGCUGACAUGAGUAACGAUAAUGCGGGUGAAAAACCCGCACGCCGAAAGCCCAAGGUUUCCUUGCGCAACGUUAAUCGGCGCAGGGUGAGUCGGCCCCUAAGGCGAGGACGAAAGUCGUAGUCGAUGGGAAGCAGGUUAAUAUUCCUGCACCUCGCGUAAGUGCGAUGGAGGGACGGAGAAGGUUAGGUGUACCAGGCGUUGGUUGUCCUGGGGAAAGGCGGUAGGUUUGGAUCUUUGGCAAAUCCGGGAUCCUUUAAGACCGAGCACCGAGACGAGCCUUUAUGGCGAAGUCACUGAUACCACGCUUCCAGGAAAAGCUCCUAAGCUUCAGCUUACGCAGACCGUACCGUAAACCGACACAGGUGGGUAGGAUGAGAAUUCUCAGGCGCUUGAGAGAACUCGGGUGAAGGAACUAGGCAACAUGGCACCGUAACUUCGGGAGAAGGUGCACCCUUUUUGGUGGCUCGUGCGAGCUAUAGCUGAAGAGGGUCGCAGUAACCAGGCCGCUGCGACUGUUUAUCAAAAACACAGCACUCUGCAAACACGAAAGUGGACGUAUAGGGUGUGACGCCUGCCCGGUGCUGGAAGGUUAAUUGAUGGGGUCAGCCGCAAGGCGAAGCUCUUGAUCGAAGCCCCAGUAAACGGCGGCCGUAACUAUAACGGUCCUAAGGUAGCGAAAUUCCUUGUCGGGUAAGUUCCGACCUGCACGAAUGGCGUAACGACAGCGGCGCUGUCUCCACCCGAGACUCAGUGAAAUUGAAAUCGCUGUGAAGAUGCAGCGUUCCCGUGGCAAGACGGAAAGACCCCGUGAACCUUUACUAUAGCUUUACACUGAACGUUGAGUUCGUCUGUGUAGGAUAGGUGGGAGGCUAUGAAACCAUGGCGCUAGCUGUGGCGGAGCCAUCCUUGAAAUACCACCCUGUCGUGCUUGACGUUCUAACCUGGGCCCAUUAUCUGGGUCGGGGACCGUGUAUGGUGGGUAGUUUGACUGGGGCGGUCUCCUCCUAAAGAGUAACGGAGGAGCUCGAAGGUACGCUCAGCGCGGUCGGACAUCGCGCACUGUGUGCAAAGGCAUAAGCGUGCUUGACUGCAAGAUCGACGGAUCAAGCAGGUAGGAAACUAGGACUUAGUGAUCCGGUGGUUCUGUAUGGAAGGGCCAUCGCUCAACGGAUAAAAGGUACUCCGGGGAUAACAGGCUGAUACCGCCCAAGAGUUCAUAUCGACGGCGGUGUUUGGCACCUCGAUGUCGGCUCAUCACAUCCUGGGGCUGUAGUCGGUCCCAAGGGUAUGGCUGUUCGCCAUUUAAAGUGGUACGCGAGCUGGGUUCAGAACGUCGUGAGACAGUUCGGUCCCUAUCUGCCAUGGGCGUUGGAGAUUUGAGAGGGGCUGCUCCUAGUACGAGAGGACCGGAGUGGACGAACCUCUGGUGUUCCGGUUGUCACGCCAGUGGCAUUGCCGGGUAGCUAUGUUCGGAAGCGAUAACCGCUGAAAGCAUCUAAGCGGGAAGCGCGCCUCAAGAUGAGAUCUCCCGGGGCACAAGCCCCCUGAAGGAACCAUGUAGACUACGUGGUUGAUAGGUCAGGUGUGUAAGUACAGCAAUGUAUUGAGCUAACUGAUACUAAUGAUCCGUGCGGCUUGACC
This 2865-nucleotide ribosomal RNA is filed under the name Stenotrophomonas maltophilia. RNAcentral describes it as "bacterial LSU rRNA". It matches the Rfam family "Bacterial large subunit ribosomal RNA". Lineage: Bacteria; Pseudomonadati; Pseudomonadota; Gammaproteobacteria; Lysobacterales; Lysobacteraceae. The record is from RNAcentral. RNAcentral also lists the same sequence under 1 other name.